AUUGAACGCUGGCGGCAUGCUUUACACAUGCAAGUCGAACGGCAGCGCGGGCUUCGGCCUGGCGGCGAGUGGCGAACGGGUGAGUAAUAUAUCGGAACGUACCCAAGAGUGGGGGAUAACGUAGCGAAAGUUACGCUAAUACCGCAUACGAUCUAAGGAUGAAAGCAGGGGAUCGCAAGACCCUGUGCUCCUGGAGCGGC
Molecule: ribosomal RNA, 200 nt
Filed under: uncultured bacterium
Lineage: Bacteria
Description: partial 16S ribosomal RNA
Rfam family: Bacterial small subunit ribosomal RNA
Source: RNAcentral